Molecule: ribosomal RNA, 277 nt
Filed under: uncultured eukaryote
Lineage: Eukaryota
Description: partial 18S ribosomal RNA
Rfam family: Eukaryotic small subunit ribosomal RNA
Source: RNAcentral
UAGUCAUAUGCUUGUCUCAAAGAUUAAGCCAUGCAUGUCUAAGUUUAAGCAAUCUAAACAGUGAAACUGCGAAUGGCUCAUUAACUCAGUUAUAAUUUAUUUGAUAGUGCAACCUUUACUUGGAUACCCCGGGUAAAUCUCGAGCUAACACAUGCUAAAAUAGGCGAGGCCUCGGCUGAGCUUAGUGUUUAUUAGAUAAAAAAUCAAUGCUUCUCGGAGCUGUUUGAUGAUUCAUAAUAACCUUUCGAAUCGCAUGGCCUUGUGCCGGCGAUGGUUC